AUGGAGCCAUGGCUGAGCUGGGUUUUUCUUGUUGCUAUUUUAAAAGGUGUCCAGUGUGAGGUGCAGCUGGUGGAGUCUGGGGGAGGCUUGGUCCCUGAGACUCUCCUGUGCAGCCUCUGGAUUCACCUUCAGUGACUACUGGAUGUACUGGUUCCGCCAGGCUCCAGGGAAGGGGCUGGAGUGGGUCUCAAGUGUUAGUGGUAGCAGUAGUAACACAUACUACUCAGACUCUGUCAAGGGCCGAUUCACCAUCUCCAGAGACAAUGCCAAGAACAUGCUGUAUCUGCAAAUGAACAGCCUGAGAGCCGAGGACACGGCCAUCUAUUACUGUGCCAGAGACACAGUGAGGGGAAGUCAGUGUGAGCCCAGACACAAACCUCCCUGCAGAAACGCUCAGGGAAAAUCAGCUGCAGGGGGCACUCAGGACGCACUGAUCAGAGUCAAUCCCAGAGAACCUGUGCAUGCCGACAACUAUGAUUCCCGGUGCACUCGUGGCCUGGUGAAGCCCUCACAGACCCUCUCCCUCACCUGUGCCAUGUCUGCAUUCUCCAUCACAACCAGUGCUUCCUGCUGUAGCUGCAUCAUCAGCCCCCCAGGGAAGGGACUGGAGUGA
RNA transcript from Mandrillus leucophaeus (drill), 613 nucleotides. It is a transcript of the gene named Ig heavy chain V-III region VH26-like, with no coding region annotated. The record is from RefSeq and is a predicted model, not a curated record. NCBI's taxonomy places the organism in Eukaryota, Metazoa, Chordata, Mammalia, Primates, Cercopithecidae. The transcript has 3 exons.